Molecule: ribosomal RNA, 420 nt
Filed under: Fusobacteriota bacterium
Lineage: Bacteria; Fusobacteriati; Fusobacteriota
Description: Fusobacteria bacterium partial 16S ribosomal RNA
Rfam family: Bacterial small subunit ribosomal RNA
Source: RNAcentral
UGGGGGAUAUUGCACAAUGGGCGAAAGCCUGAUGCAGCGACGCCGCGUGGGGGAUGAAGGCCUUCGGGUUGUAAACUUCUUUUGCUCUGAACAAGGCAUGCCUUUGGGGUGUGUUGAGUGUAGGGGUUGAUUAGCGCCGGCUAACUACGUGCCAGCAGCCGCGGUAAUACGUAGGGCGCGAGCGUUGUCCGGAAUUAUUGGGCGUAAAGAGCUUGUAGGCGGUUUGUCGCGUCGAUAGUGCAAACUCAGUGCUUAACGCUGAGCCUGCUGUUGAUACGGGCAGACUAGAGGAAGGUAGGGGAGAAUGGAAUUCCCGGUGGAGCGGUGGAAUGCGCAGAUAUCGGGAGGAACACCGGUGGCGAAGGCGGUUCUCUGGGCCUUUCCUGACGCUGAGAAGCGAAAGCGUGGGGAGCGAACAGG